This 634-nucleotide ribosomal RNA is filed under the name uncultured bacterium. Its description in RNAcentral is "bacterial SSU rRNA". It matches the Rfam family "Bacterial small subunit ribosomal RNA", at positions 91 to 734 of the family's 1533-position model. The record is from RNAcentral.
GAAAGCGGCGCAAGGGAGAGUAACGCGUGGAUCAUCUGCCCUCAGGUCUGGGAUAGCUGCGGGAAACUGCAGGUAAUACCGGAUAAUGUCUUCGGACCAAAGGUGCGAUUCCGCCUGUGGAUGAGUCCGCGUCCUAUUAGCUUGUUGGUGGGGUAACGGCCUACCAAGGCUGCGAUGGGUACCGGGCGUGAGAGCGUGGCCCGGCUCACUGGGACUGAGACACUGCCCAGACGUCUACGGACGGCUGCAGUCGAGAAUCUUCCGCAAUGGACGAAAGUCUGACGGAGCGACGCCGCGUGCGGGAUGAAGGCCUUCGGGUUGUAAACCGCUGUCAGUUGGGAGGAAAUCUUAUGGGGUUCUCCCCUUAAGUUGACCUAUCUUCAGAGGAAGACCGGGCUAAGUUCGUGCCAGCAGCCGCGGUAAGACGAACCGGUCAAACGUUAUUCGGAAUCACUGGGCUUAAAGGGUGCGUAGGCGGCUUGGAAAGUUGGGUGUGAAAGCCCGCAGCUCAACUGCGGAAUUGCGCUCAAAACUGCCAGGCUUGAGGGAAGUAGGGGUGAGCGGAACUGAUGGUGGAGCGGUGAAAUGCGUUGAUAUCAUCAGGAACACCUGUGGCGAAAGCGGCUCACUGGAC